UACGUAGGGACCGAGCGUUGUCCGGAAUCAUUGGGCGUAAAGAGCGUGUAGGCGGCCACUUAAGUCCUGCGUGAAAUCUUGCGGCUCAACCGCAAGCGGUCGUGGGAAACUGGGUGGCUAGAGUGCGGGAGAGGAGAGUGGAAUUCCUGGUGUAGCGGUGGAAUGCGUAGAGAUCCGGAAGAACACCGGUGGCGAAGGCGGCCUGCUGGGCAGUAGCUGACACUGAGGCGCGACAGCGUGGGGAGCAAACAGG
RNAcentral lists this ribosomal RNA (253 nucleotides) under uncultured bacterium. RNAcentral describes it as "partial 16S ribosomal RNA". It matches the Rfam family "Bacterial small subunit ribosomal RNA", at positions 524 to 776 of the family's 1533-position model. The record is from RNAcentral.